Molecule: long non-coding RNA, 1298 nt
Filed under: Coffea arabica (coffee)
Lineage: Eukaryota; Viridiplantae; Streptophyta; Magnoliopsida; Gentianales; Rubiaceae
Description: long non-coding RNA (CARA_LNC006758)
Source: RNAcentral
AGUACAUAUCAACAAGAAAUUUAUCCUAUCAUCAGCCAUAUAGUGCCUGCAUUUAUAGCCUACUUUUUGCAAAAGUAAAGUCUUGAGCCUGAAGGAUGAUACUUCUAUUGAGCCUGAAGGAUGAUACUUCUAUGGAUCCUGAACAAAUACCCACACAGUGCCUCUGUUCAUGCUGCUCUCCAGCAUAACGAACCAAAUUAUCCUAAGUUAUCACUAACCAAACUAUCCAAGGUGGAAAAGACAGUAAUCCUUGGAAACAUAGCUGAAUCCUCUCGUGUUGUUCUCCAGAAUAAUGAACCCAAUUAGCCUGGCAAUGUCAAAGAUCAUUAACUAAAUGAAGCAAUGUAGGUAAUAUAGACAAUCCAGACAUCUCACCCCAAUCCUUUCUUAUGAAAGAGUUUUAACAAGUAUCAUCAUUCUACAUUGUAAAAACAAUUAAAGAUAACUCUAUAAUUUAGUUCAAAUAGGAGAAAGUAAUUACCGAGAGUAACAGGAAUAUCAGCUAUACUGCCUCCAUUUUGCCUAUUAUCUUCAAAAGUAAAAUCUUGAGCCUGAAGAAUGAUACUUCUAUGGAGCCACAAAAACAGUUGUAAGCAAUAUCAGACCAAUUUUAACACCUUUUGGCAACUAAUAGAUUAUAUAAGCAAAGCCAGAAUACCCAGACUUGCAGAAUAUCAUCAAUUUCCUAAAAAUAUCUUGAUUAAAACUUGUCUUCCCUAACAUAGGAAGCCACAUUUACCACCAAAAAUGAAAUGCAUUUCUUUUUGUCCAAGCUAGUACAAGCUCAAAACUAAGAUGGAUUCACAAAAUCCAGCACCAAUAUAUAGAAUACUCAGCAAUGAGGAAGCAAAUGACACUUCUCAAGGCAAAACAAUCAUCAAGUAGCAACACUCUUAAGGCUUGGCAUCGUGUCAGAAUAAAGAAAUUGUUACAGGCAUCCCAAUAUUAAGGCAUAAGGGUCUGACUUCCAGUACAUAUUCAAGAAGAAAUUUAUCCUAUCAUCAGCUAUAGGGAUCUGAGUUUGAGUACAUAUCAACAAGAAAUUUAUCCUAUCAUCAGCCAUGUAGUGCCUGCAUUUAUAGCCUACUUUUUGCAAAAGUAAAGUCUUGAGCCUGAAGGAUGAUACUUCUAUGGAUCCUGAACAAAUACCCACACAGUGCCUCUGUUCAUGCUGCUCUCCAGCAUAACGAACCAAAUUAUCCUAAGUUAUCACUAACCAAACUAUCCAAGGUGGAAAAGACAGUAAUCCUUGGAAACAUAGCUGAAUCCUCUCGUGUUGUUCUCCAGAAUAAUGAACC